Molecule: long non-coding RNA, 675 nt
Organism: Syngnathoides biaculeatus (alligator pipefish)
Lineage: Eukaryota; Metazoa; Chordata; Actinopteri; Syngnathiformes; Syngnathidae
Exons: 5
Source: RefSeq, a predicted model, not a curated record
GUAUUUUAUACAUAUCUAUUUUUUAUAUAUAUUUCCCCUCGUUAAGUAGUCAGUAAAGUUUUGUGGGUAACAAAAUACUUGGUUGGAAUUUAUAUAUGUACAUUUUUUUAGAAAUAAACAUUGCAUUUGGAAGCUAGCAAGCUAUCUAGCGUAAAGGCUAUUAGCUACAUGAAUGACCUGUGGGAAUAGCUUGAGCAAGCCAACUUCCUGUUGAGCAUGAGAAUGAAGUGGAUUGUGUAAUGAUUAAUUGUGGCCAGACAACAUGGUGUCACCGUUUUCCCCUGAAUGAUAUAAAAGACGAGCCAAAUAAAAAAUACAAAGGGUCGCAGAUGAGUUGGAGCCUGUGCUAUCUGACAUUUUGGUGAGCGGAUACCCUGAACAAGUCGCCGACCAAUCGGAGAACAGGAAUCUAGACUACCCAGAAAAAAAAACAAGACAAGCACAGAAAGAAUGAAAAGUCCACGCAGGAAUCCCUCCGUCGAGAUUCAACCCAACAACUUCUUGACUGUAAGACGGAUGGGCUAACCACUCUCCACCUUGGCGCCCACGUCCGUUUUCCAUUCAGCUUCCACUAUGCUGAAAAAGUCUUGCUCGGCUCUGGCAAUCAACUGCUCGGGGGUCUCCUCUCGCCCCGCCGCGUCUCGGCCCGCUUCGUCUUCUCGGCUCUGCUCGGAG